AGGGAAAGAGCCCAAACCAAAGAUUUAUCUUUGGGGUUGCGGACAGAACAUUAACGAGAAAUUAUGGUUAACCGAACACAACUGGAAAGUUGGACCGUAGGGGGUAAUAGUCCUGUAGGUGAAAAUUGUAAUGAUCAAGUUCUGAUCCAGAGUACCACGAGACACGUGAAACCUUGUGGGAAGCAGGGAGGACCACCUCCCAAGGCUAAAUACUACCUGAUGACCGAUAGUGAAGCAGUACCGUGAGGGAAAGGUGAAAAGAACCCCGGGAGGGGAGUGAAAUAGAACCUGAAACCAUGUGCCUACAACCGAUCAAAGCACCUUAUGUGUGUGAUGAUGUGCUUUUUGUAGAACGAGCCAACGAGUUACGGUAUGUAGCAAG
RNAcentral lists this ribosomal RNA (382 nucleotides) under Clostridium botulinum. RNAcentral describes it as "partial 23S ribosomal RNA". It matches the Rfam family "Bacterial large subunit ribosomal RNA", at positions 258 to 644 of the family's 2925-position model. The record is from RNAcentral. Lineage: Bacteria; Bacillati; Bacillota; Clostridia; Eubacteriales; Clostridiaceae.